RNAcentral lists this ribosomal RNA (267 nucleotides) under Dermocybe kula. RNAcentral's name for it is "partial large subunit ribosomal RNA". It matches the Rfam family "Eukaryotic large subunit ribosomal RNA", at positions 419 to 675 of the family's 3401-position model. Lineage: Eukaryota; Fungi; Basidiomycota; Agaricomycetes; Agaricales; Cortinariaceae. The record is from RNAcentral.
ACGCUUGAAGUCAGUCGCGUUGUCCAGGGAUCAACCUUGCUUUUGCUUGGUGCACUUCCUGGUUGACGGGUCAGCAUCAAUUUUGACCAUUGGAAAAAGGUUAAGGGAAUGUGGCAUCUUUGGAUGUGUUAUAGCCCUUGGUUGCAUACAAUGGUUGGGAUUGAGGAACUCAGCACGCCGCAAGGCCGGGUUUUUAACCACGUACGUGCUUAGGAUGCUGGCAUAAUGGCUUUAAUCGACCCGUCUUGAAACACGGACCAAGGAGUC